Molecule: ribosomal RNA, 341 nt
Filed under: Boophis narinsi
Lineage: Eukaryota; Metazoa; Chordata; Amphibia; Anura; Mantellidae
Description: partial 16S ribosomal RNA
Rfam family: Bacterial large subunit ribosomal RNA
Source: RNAcentral
GGUUUUACUGUCUCCCCACUCUAAUCAGUGAAACUGAUCUUCCCGUGAAGAAGCGGGAAUAUACAUAUAAGACGAGAAGACCCCAUGGAGCUUUAAACCCAACAGCACCUAUUCUUUUUAAAUCCACUUAUUCUUAUAGUAAGUGCUUGCUUGGUUUUAGGUUGGGGUGACCGCGGAGUAAAAAUGAGCCUCCACGAAAAAAGGCAUAAAAGCCUUAUCAAAGAAUCACACUUCUAUGAAUUAGUAAACUAAUUUUUGAUGAUCCGAUAUUCGAUCAACGAACCAAGUUACCCUGGGGAUAACAGCGCAAUCCACCUCAAGAGCUCCUAUCGACAAGUGGG